This 799-nucleotide ribosomal RNA is filed under the name Triactinomyxon sp. 'C1' EE-2005. RNAcentral's name for it is "bacterial SSU rRNA". It matches the Rfam family "Eukaryotic small subunit ribosomal RNA", at positions 118 to 868 of the family's 1831-position model. Lineage: Eukaryota; Metazoa; Cnidaria; Myxozoa. The record is from RNAcentral.
UGUUUGAUUGUCUACCUAUGGAUAACCGUGGGAAAUCUAGAGCUAAUACAUGCAGUUAAUGGUCGGGCUUGCUUGGCCAAGCAUUUAUUAGUUUUAACCAAUUACUGCGCAAGCAGUAAGGUGAAUCUAGAUAACUUUGCUGAUCGCAUGGCUUUGCCAGCGACGUUUCAAUUGAGUUUCUGCCCUAUCAAUUUGUUGGUAAGGUAUUGGCUUACCAAGGUUGUAACGGGUAACGGGGAAUCAGGGUUCGAUUCCGGAGAGGGAGCUUGAGAAUCGGCUACCACAUCCAAGGAAGGCAGCAGGCGCGCAAAUUACCAAAUCUAGACAGUAGGAGGUGGUGAAGAGAAGUACUAAGUGGUGGUUAUUUACUACCAGCUUGGAAUGGACGUAAUUUAAGCAUUUCGAUGAGUAACUACUGGAGGGCAAGUCCUGGUGCCAGCAGCCGCGGUAAUUCCAGCUCCAGUGGCGUGAUUUAAAGUUGCUGCGUUUAAAACGCUCGUAGUUGGAUCAAGCGGUGACAGUUUGUUUUCUGUAGUUAGCAUUUGACUGCUACAGUUGAUACUAACUGCAGAUUAAAGCGCAAACUGUCACUAUUUAAUCGCAAAUAUGUUAGUUGACCUUAAAUGAGUUGACUAUCAUAUUUUGCAGAGUUGUGCCUUGAAUAAAACAGAGUGCUCAAAGCAGGCGAACGCUUGAAUGUUGUAGCAUGGAACGAACAAACGUGUAUUAGCAUAUAUCGUGCGAAGCGGAUGUGUUUUUGGCGCAUCUGCUUUGCUGAUGUAUGCAUCACCCGCCAAAG